This 26-nucleotide non-coding RNA is filed under the name Homo sapiens (human). The record is from RNAcentral. Lineage: Eukaryota; Metazoa; Chordata; Mammalia; Primates; Hominidae.
UCCUACCAGAUUGGUGAGAAGGGAGC